Molecule: ribosomal RNA, 500 nt
Filed under: uncultured bacterium
Lineage: Bacteria
Description: partial 16S ribosomal RNA
Rfam family: Bacterial small subunit ribosomal RNA
Source: RNAcentral
AUUGAACGCUGGCGGCAUGCCUUACACAUGCAAGUCGAACGGCAGCACGGGAGCAAUCCUGGUGGCGAGUGGCGAACGGGUGAGUAAAGUAUCGGAACGUGCCCAGUCGUGGGGGAUAACGUAGCGAAAGUUACGCUAAUACCGCAUACGCUCUAUGGAGGAAAGCGGGGGAUCGCAAGACCUCGCGCGAUUGGAGGGGCCGAUAUCAGAUUAGGUAGUCGGUGGGGUAAAGGCUCACCAAGCCGACGAUCUGUAGCUGGUCUGAGAGGACGACCAGCCACACUGGGACUGAGACACGGCCCAGACUCCUACGGGAGGCAGCAGUGGGGAAUUUUGGACAAUGGGCGAAAGCCUGAUCCAGCCAUGCCGCGUGCAGGAUGAAGGCCUUCGGGUUGUAAACUGCUUUUGUACGGAACGAAAAGGUUUGGCCUAAUAAGCUGAGCUCAUGACGGUACCGUAAGAAUAAGCACCGGCUAACUACGUGCCAGCCGCCGCGGUAA